CGGGCUGUAGUAUAUUGGUAGUACGCAAGGCUGGGGGUCUUGUAGGCUGGGUUCGAUUCCCAGCAGCCCGA
RNAcentral lists this transfer RNA (71 nucleotides) under bacterium. RNAcentral describes it as "tRNA-Pro". It matches the Rfam family "tRNA". Rfam says of the family: Transfer RNA (tRNA) molecules are approximately 80 nucleotides in length. Their secondary structure includes four short double-helical elements and three loops (D, anti-codon, and T loops). The record is from RNAcentral. RNAcentral also lists the same sequence under 1 other name.